RNAcentral lists this ribosomal RNA (1402 nucleotides) under Coconut lethal yellowing phytoplasma. Its description in RNAcentral is "bacterial SSU rRNA". It matches the Rfam family "Bacterial small subunit ribosomal RNA". The record is from RNAcentral. Lineage: Bacteria; Bacillati; Mycoplasmatota; Mollicutes; Acholeplasmatales; Acholeplasmataceae.
CAUGCAAGUCGAACGGAAAUCUUUUAGAGAAAUCUUUUGGAUUUUAGUGGCGAACGGGUGAGUAACACGUAAGCAACCUGCCUUUAAGACGAGAAUAACAAUUGGAAACAGUUGCUAAGGCUGGAUAGGAAAUAAAAAGGCAUCUUUUUAUUUUUAAAAGACCUUCUUCGGAGGGUAUGCUUAAAGAGGGGCUUGCGUCACAUUAGUUAGUUGGUAGGGUAAUGGCCUACCAAGACGAUGAUGUGUAGCUGGACUGAGAGGUUGAACAGCCACAUUGGGACUGAGACACGGCCCAAACUCCUACGGGAGGCAGCAGUAGGGAAUUUUCGGCAAUGGAGGAAACUCUGACCGAGCAACGCCGCGUGAACGACGAAGUACUUCGGUAUGUAAAGUUCUUUUAUUGAAGAAGAAACAAUAGUGGAAAAACUAUCUUGACGUUAUUCAAUGAAUAAGCCCCGGCUAACUAUGUGCCAGCAGCCGCGGUAAUACAUAGGGGGCGAGCGUUAUCCGGAAUUAUUGGGCGUAAAGGGUGCGUAGGCGGUUUAAUAAGUCUCUAGUUUAAUUUCAACGCUUAACGUUGUUCUGCUAGAGAAACUGUUUGACUAGAGUGAGAUAGAGGUAAGCGGAAUUCCAUGUGUAGCGGUAAAAUGUGUAAAUAUAUGGAGGAACACCAGAGGCGUAGGCGGCUUACUGGGUCUUUACUGACGCUGAUGCACGAAAGCGUGGGGAGCAAACAGGAUUAGAUACCCUGGUAGUCCACGCCGUAAACUAUGAGUACUAAGUGUCGGGGUUAAACUCGGUACUGAAGUUAACACAUUAAGUACUCCGCCUGAGUAGUACGUACGCAAGUAUGAAACUUAAAGGAAUUGACGGGAUCCCGCACAAGCGGUGGAUCAUGUUGUUUAAUUCGAAGAUACACGAAAAACCUUACCAGGUCUUGACAUACUCUGCAAAACUAUAGAAGUAUAGUGGAGGUUAUCAGGGAUACAGGUGGUGCAUGGUUGUCGUCAGCUCGUGUCGUGAGAUGUUAGGUUAAGUUCUAAAACGAGCGCAACCCCUGUCGUUAAUUGCCAGCACGUUAUGGUGGGGACUUUAGCGAGACUGCCAAUGAAAAAUUGGAGGAAGGUGGGGAUUACGUCAAAUCAUCAUGCCCCUUAUGAUCUGGGCUACAAACGUGAUACAAUGGCUAUUACAAAGAGUGGCUUAAACGCGAGUUUUUGGCAAAUCUCAAAAAAAUAGUCUUAGUUCGGAUUGAAGUCUGCAACUCGACUUCAUGAAGUUGGAAUCGCUAGUAAUCGCGAAUCAGCAUGUCGCGGUGAAUACGUUCUCGGGGUUUGUACACACCGCCCGUCAAACCACGAAAGUGGACAAUACCCGAAAGCGACAGCCUAACUGCGUAAGC